CCUACGGGCGGCAGCAGUGGGGAAUAUUGGACAAUGGGGGCAACCCUGAUCCAGCCAUGCCGCGUGUGUGAAGAAGGCCCUCGGGUUGUAAAGCACUUUCAGUGAGGAAGAACGCCUGGUGGUUAAUACCCAUCAGGAAAGACAUCACUCACAGAAGAAGCACCGGCUAACUCCGUGCCAGCAGCCGCGGUAAUACGGAGGGUGCGAGCGUUAAUCGGAAUUACUGGGCGUAAAGCGCGCGUAGGUGGCUUGAAAAGCCGGUUGUGAAAGCCCCGGGCUCAACCUGGGAACGGCAUCCGGAACUGUCAAGCUAGAGUGCAGGAGAGGAAGGUAGAAUUCCCGGUGUAGCGGUGAAAUGCGUAGAGAUCGGGAGGAAUACCAGUGGCGAAGGCGGCCUUCUGGACUGACACUGACACUGGGGUGCGAAAGCGUGGGUAGCAAACAGGAUUAGAUACCCCUGUAGUC
Molecule: ribosomal RNA, 465 nt
Filed under: Vreelandella stevensii
Lineage: Bacteria; Pseudomonadati; Pseudomonadota; Gammaproteobacteria; Oceanospirillales; Halomonadaceae
Description: partial 16S ribosomal RNA
Rfam family: Bacterial small subunit ribosomal RNA
Source: RNAcentral